RNAcentral lists this long non-coding RNA (99 nucleotides) under Mus spretus (western wild mouse). RNAcentral describes it as "predicted gene, 55107 (ENSMSPG00010018590.1)". It matches the Rfam family "Maternally expressed 8 exon 1". The record is from RNAcentral. Lineage: Eukaryota; Metazoa; Chordata; Mammalia; Rodentia; Muridae.
UUGCAAAUUUGCAGAUUUUUCCCAGAAUGGAACUAACUGGAACUCUUCAUUUUACAGCUAUGGCUCACUGCCCCUCAGGGGGCAGGGGGCUGGUGAUUC